Quercus robur (English oak) is the source of this 1011-nucleotide long non-coding RNA. RefSeq lists it as uncharacterized. NCBI's taxonomy places the organism in Eukaryota, Viridiplantae, Streptophyta, Magnoliopsida, Fagales, Fagaceae. The record is from RefSeq and is a predicted model, not a curated record. The transcript has 6 exons.
UGUUUUGCUAAUCAUUUCUUUUUCCAUUAUUCUUCUUUUAGCCAAGUACAUGUGAUUUGACAAAGAUAUCUAAAUGCUAUAAAGUGGAAAAGAAAAUUCAAGCAUUGACUGACAUACUCAUAUGAUUUUUUUUAGGUAAAAAUUGGUCGAAAGAAAAGAGUGUGAAGCUGCUCUACAGCACCUUAGGGGGCAGAAUGCUGAUAUCACUCCAAAAGCUACUGAGAUUAGAGUAACUUUUGGACUUCAGAUGUCAAUGAGAAAAUAACUCUUUGUUUCCUCUUUAACUAGAAAAAUUACAUACUUUGACAUAGUCUUAAAUAUUUUCCAACAAUUUUGCUUAGGAACAAGUAUUGACAUGGUUUUUGUAUCAUUUUACAAGAGUACACAAAAACCCUUCAACUACUUUUUGAAGCUAGUAUUCUUGACUUAUUUCAAUGGAAAUAUGCUUACUCACUUAUUGUUAGGUUGGAGAUGGCCUGAUGGUACUACAACAAUUUGGAGGAAUCAGUGGAAUUGCAUUUUAUGCAAGUGCUAUAUUCAUAUCAGCUGGCUUUUCGGGUAGUAUUGGGACCAUAGCAAUGGUCAUUGUUCAGCAUUAGGGGUAAUUUUGAUGGAUAAAUCUGGAAGGUGGCCAUUUCUAUUGGUAAGAAGGUUAAGAAAUCUCUACUGUGUAAUGGAGUUGAAUGAAAAUAAUUUUGAAUCCCACUAUAUUCACAGGUUUCUGCAGCAGGAACUUGCUUAGGUUGCUUGCUUGUGGGAUUGUCAUUCUUCAUGUAGGUGUACACAGGAUCUUUCUUAUUAGGCAUGGGAGGAAUUCCUUGGGUUAUAAUGUCAAAGAUAUUUCCCAUAAACAUGAAGGGCUCAACUGGAAGCCUUGUUACAUUGGUUAGCUGGUUAGGUUCUUGGAUUGUAUCUAUGCUUUUAACUUUCUAAUGGAUUGGAGCUCAGCAAGUGAUGCCAAGCUAGUCUUAUCUCUCAAUAUUGAUGUUAUAUUGGAUGCAAACUGCAAUA